Molecule: non-coding RNA, 569 nt
Organism: Odocoileus virginianus texanus
Lineage: Eukaryota; Metazoa; Chordata; Mammalia; Artiodactyla; Cervidae
Source: RefSeq, a predicted model, not a curated record
UUGAUACUUCUUAAACAUGCAAAACCCGCUUGAAACCAGUUUUGUGAUUUGAAGCUUAAAGACUAAAUCUGUGACUCGGUCUAAUUUACUAAAUAACCAAAAAAUUGCCUUUGUUUAAAGUGAAAACUUUUUUUUAGUACUCAGAUUUGCAACAUAGUCGUGAAAACUUCAACGGCGAAGAAAGUCCACGCUUAACUGCAAGUUAACUCUGUGUACCUGUCUUAUCCUCGACGGGAUGGGAGCCUACCUUUCUUUGUUACCCCGUGCCUGGCACCUUAACUUUCACUUUGGGAAAGCUGACCGAACAAGAAGUAAAUGGCAUGCUCAGAUAUACAGGGGGGCUUGAAAAGAGGAAGUGUCCAGCCCUCUUCCGCUCAGCCUCCAGAAAGCCUGCUGACACUCUGGUUCCUGGGAACAGCUGGAGAAAAUCACAUCACCUCCAGCUGCUCAGGGAAUGGAGGCCACCAUGCACAAAAGACCUAGAAGUCUUCCCCUGAACCUCAGAUAUGCAGGUAACACCACCAUUAUGGCAGAAAGCAAAGAGGAACUGAAGAGCCUCAUGAUGAAAG